This is a long non-coding RNA of Falco peregrinus (peregrine falcon), 1349 nucleotides long. RefSeq lists it as uncharacterized. NCBI's taxonomy places the organism in Eukaryota, Metazoa, Chordata, Aves, Falconiformes, Falconidae. The record is from RefSeq and is a predicted model, not a curated record. The transcript is spliced from 4 exons.
UGUACCUUUUUAUGGCAUUGCAAAUAGCUAUGCAAUCAUCCUGGAGUAACAGUGCAAGAAUACAAAUUACAGACUAACCCAGUCUGCUGGUGUCUCAGUGCAAGCGCUUGUUUAUAUCUGCUUCACUCUGCUAGUUGUUUCACAAAAGGCGUACGGACAUAAAGGCAAUGGCAAAGGGUCAAAGAGGUCUUGUGUAGGUGUAAGGUGCAUUUAGUAGGUAUUGUUGAAGUUACUAGUGAAAUAAGCUACCUGGGAAUUAACCAUUGGUAUUGCAUCAGUGUACAGCAGUUCAAAAACAGUACAAAGCUCCUUCUCCAAUUUGAACUGCAGAUGAGUAUGGGGAAGCAGACAGUAAUUAAUGGAAGUGAAAUUUAGUCAGAAGAAUCAUCAGUUUCCAGGAAAUGCCAGCAAAGCUGUGCCUCUGCUUUCUGAUCUGGUGCAGAUGCAAAAGCGUCGCUUAUGUUCAGGUCUGUAAGUAGUUAUUACAGAGGUGGGAAGGAAAGGAUCAAAGAUCCAUGGGUGAAAGUUCAUGUAAGUGUUGAGGCCUGCUUGAUAAGGUUAAGAGGUUAAAAAAAAAAAUUCUGACUCACAAAAUAGAUACAGUACCAAUCUUAAAAGCAUCUGCUUUCUCAGAUGGUAUUAGUAGUCUUGGUCUUCUGAUACUUGGUGUAAAUAAUGACCGUACAUCUCUGCAUAAUCGUUAACUGCAUACACUGUAUAGGAAGAUCACAUUUCCACUCUCUUGCCCUAAGGUUAGUUGGAAUGAGAACGUGCUGUUUUCUGCCCACCAAGGUAAAAACAAAAGGCCUGAUUUUUCUUCUAGCCCCUGGGAAAAUCAGAAGCCUGUGCAUAAAAGUCAGCUAGAAUAACUAGCACUAGUUUGAAGCCCCUGAGAAUGGUGGAAGACUCCAACUCAAAGAUACUGUGUUGUGGCGCUGGUGGAGAUGACAGUCAUUUUGAAGCCUGGAGCAUCACAACCCAAACAAUCACUCAAGAAGAAAAAGUGUUGGCUUGGAACAAACCAGAAGUAUUGCAAAUGACUGCUUUGAAUCUCCUGCAUGAUCCUGAACAGAGGAGGCUAUUUCUCAGCAGGUGUAUCUUCAUUCUGGUGCUUCAUCUAGGAUUUUAAGCAGCAGAUUGUCUCACGGUGAGCUGGCUACAUAUUUGGACCUUAUCUUGGGAGUGAAGAGGAGCCCCCAGGCUCUCACCCACACUUGUUUAUCACACAACCCUUUGACAUUCUCCUCAUAACAGAUUUAAUUUGGAGCACAUAUGUAUGACAUAUGUGACAUCAUCAAAUAGUUACCUGAUGCUCGUCAAAACAGUGGGAACAAAACAAUAACUUCAAG